This 68-nucleotide transfer RNA is filed under the name Pterygotrigla ryukyuensis (Ryukyu gurnard). Its description in RNAcentral is "tRNA-His". It matches the Rfam family "tRNA". Rfam says of the family: Transfer RNA (tRNA) molecules are approximately 80 nucleotides in length. The record is from RNAcentral. Lineage: Eukaryota; Metazoa; Chordata; Actinopteri; Perciformes; Triglidae.
GUGGGUAUAGUUUAAUAAAAACGCCAGAUUGUGAUUCUGGAGACGGGGUUAAACUCCUCUUACCCACC